UGAUCGAGCGACGCCGCGUGCGGGACGAAGUAGCUUUGCUAUGUAACCGCUUUUGCGUGGGAGUAAUUUGAACGUACCACGAGAAUAAGGGUUGCUAACCUCGUGCCAGCAGCAGCGGUAAUACGAGGACCCCAAGCGUUAUCCGGAUUUACUGGGCGUAAAGGGCAAGUAGCCGGUUGUGCUAGUCUGAUGUUAAAUCUUUGGGCCCAACCCAAAGGCCGCAUCGGAAACGGCACGACUCGAGCGGGUGAGAGGCACACGGAACGUGCAGUGUAGGGGUGAAAUCCAUUGAUAUUGCACGGAACACCAAAAGCGAAGGCAGUGUGCUAGCGCUCUGCUGACGGUCAAUUGCGAAAGCGUGGGCAUAAAAAAGGAUUAGAUACCCUUGUAUUCCACGCCCUAAACGAUGCAGACUGGCUAUUGGGAGCAUCGACCCUCCCAGUGGCGAAGCUAACGCGUUAAGUCUGCCGCCUGGGUAGUACGAUCGCAAGGUUA
This 495-nucleotide ribosomal RNA is filed under the name uncultured bacterium. RNAcentral describes it as "bacterial SSU rRNA". It matches the Rfam family "Bacterial small subunit ribosomal RNA", at positions 384 to 896 of the family's 1533-position model. The record is from RNAcentral.